UACGUAGGGUGCGAGCGUUAAUCGGAAUUACUGGGCGUAAAGUGUGCGCAGGCGGCGCCGCAAGUCGAGUGUGAAAGCCCCGAGCUUAACUUGGGAAUUGCGCUCGAAACUAUGGUGCUGGAGUGUGGCAGAGGAAGGUGGAAUUCCACGUGUAGCGGUGAAAUGCGUAGAUAUCGGAAGGAACACCAGUGGCGAAAGCGGCUUCCUGGUCCGACACCGACGUUCAGGCACGAAAGCGUGGGGAGCAAACAGG
Molecule: ribosomal RNA, 253 nt
Filed under: uncultured bacterium
Lineage: Bacteria
Description: partial 16S ribosomal RNA
Rfam family: Bacterial small subunit ribosomal RNA
Source: RNAcentral